Non-coding RNA from Acanthosepion pharaonis, 114 nucleotides. The record is from the annotation of a GenBank genome assembly. Lineage: Eukaryota; Metazoa; Mollusca; Cephalopoda; Sepiida; Sepiidae.
UUACGGUCAUAUCACGUUGAAACAUCGGUUCCCGUACAAUCACCGAAGUUAAGCAACGUCCAGCCUGGUCGGUACGUAGAAGGGUGACUUGUUGUGUAUACCAGGUGCUGUAAG